RNAcentral lists this ribosomal RNA (499 nucleotides) under uncultured bacterium. RNAcentral's name for it is "bacterial SSU rRNA". It matches the Rfam family "Bacterial small subunit ribosomal RNA", at positions 10 to 507 of the family's 1533-position model. The record is from RNAcentral.
AGUUUGAUCCUGGCUCAGAUUGAACGCUGGCGGAAUGCUUUACACAUGCAAGUCGAACGGUAGAGGGGGCAACCCUUGAGAGUGGCGAACGGGUAGAGUAAAUAUAUCGGAACGUGCCCAGUCGUGGGGGAUAACGUAGCAAAGUUACGCUAAUACCGCAUACGAUCUAAGGAUGAAAGCGGGGGAUCGCAAGACCUCGCGCGAUUGGAGCGGCCGAUAUCAGAUUAGGUAGUUGGUGGGGUAAAGGCUCACCAAGCCAACGAUCUGUAGCUGGUCUGAGAGGACGACCAGGCCACACUGGAACUGAGACACGGUCCAGACUCCUACGGGAGGCAGCAGUGGGGAAUUUUGGACAAUGGACGCAAGUCUGAUCCAGCCAUUCCGCGUGCAGGAUGAAGGCCCUCGGGUUGUAAACUGCUUUUGUACGGAACGAAAAGGUUUCCAUUAAUACUGGGAGCUCAUGACGGUACCGUAAGAAUAAGCACCGGCUAACUACGUG